CCCCUCCCCAGAGUCCUCUUAGGUGACUGGUGAAUCUUUCCAGUUCCCGAAUGCAUUCUCUGGAACAGAUUGGUCCACUCUGUGAUUGGCCUCGCCCCUCAAGUUGCAGAUCUCUUUGUUAAUUACUGUCUAUUGCAAGAGGAAGCUUCUCUGAUGAGGAUGAACAAUGCUCUACUCGAUGGUAUAGCAAUAUGGCGUCAGUAGUCCUUUUAUUGCUAUGUCCUUAUAACAGAAUAAUAGUAGUAAGUUUGUCCCUAAGCAUGUGACUAUCUAGUUUCAGGGUUUUCACCAUGGCGGCGGUGGCAGCAGCAGCAACGGCAGCUAUGGGUUCCAUCUUAUGGAGUGGGUCGUAAAUCCAAGAACAUUUGUGCUAUUUUUGCGUAUAUGGACUCAACAGAGACUCUGAUAGCUUACAAAAGACCUGCACAGGCUGGAACUAGACAAAAUCCCAGCACUGACGACGGGAAGUGGAUACAAAGUCCUAGCCCAAAUCAAGAAGCUAUCUAAAAACAACAUGAAGUUGGCCGAGUAGGGAGGUUUGUCUGUGUGAGCUCAGUGCCUGUGGAGGUCAGAGGAAGGCAUAUGAUCCCCGGAGCUGGAGUUGCAGGUGGUUCUGAGCUGCUUGACGUGAAUGCUGGGAACCAAACUAUUGUUCUGUGCAAGAGCAAUAAAUGCUUUUAGACAU
Molecule: small RNA, 685 nt
Filed under: Rattus norvegicus (Norway rat)
Lineage: Eukaryota; Metazoa; Chordata; Mammalia; Rodentia; Muridae
Description: uncharacterized LOC102549525
Source: RNAcentral